GGACAGAAAGACCCUAUGAAGCUUGACUGUAGCUUGUAAUUGGGUUCGGGCUUUUUUUGCGCAGCCUAGGUGGGAGGCAUUGAUAAUUUUCUUCUGGGAAAAUUUGAGCCGUUCGUGAGAGACCACUCUGAAAGAGCUAGAAUCCUAAUAAUGAUCCUUGAAUCAGGACAUUUGACAGUUGCAGGUGGGCAGUUUGACUGGGGCGGUCGC
This 210-nucleotide ribosomal RNA is filed under the name Minutocellus polymorphus. RNAcentral describes it as "partial Bacterial large subunit ribosomal RNA". It matches the Rfam family "Bacterial large subunit ribosomal RNA", at positions 2078 to 2286 of the family's 2925-position model. The record is from RNAcentral. Lineage: Eukaryota; Bacillariophyta; Thalassiosirophyceae; Cymatosirales; Cymatosiraceae.